This 253-nucleotide ribosomal RNA is filed under the name uncultured bacterium. Its description in RNAcentral is "partial 16S ribosomal RNA". It matches the Rfam family "Bacterial small subunit ribosomal RNA", at positions 524 to 776 of the family's 1533-position model. The record is from RNAcentral.
UACGUAGGGUGCAAGCGUUGUCCGGAAUUAUUGGGCGUAAAGAGCUCGUAGGCGGUUUGUCGCGUCUGCUGUGAAAACUCAGGGCUUAACCCUGAGCCUGCAGUGGGUAUGGGCAGACUAGAGUGUGGUAGGGGAGAUCGGAAUUCCUGGUGUAGCGGUGGAAUGCGCAGAUAUCAGGAGGAACACCGGUGGCGAAGGCGGAUCUCUGGGCCAUAACUGACGCUGAGGAGCGAAAGCAUGGGGAGCGAACAGG